AGUGAACGCUGGCGGUAGGCCUAACACAUGCAAGUCGAACGGCAGCACAGUAAGCGCUUGCUCUUACCGGUGGCGAGUGACGGACGGGUGAGACAUACAUAGGCAUCUACUUUUUCGUGGGGGAUAACGUAGGGACACUUACGCUAAUACCGCAUACGACCUACGGGUGAAAGCAGGGGAUCUUCGGACCUUGCGCGAUUCAAUGAGCCGAUGUCGGAUUAGCUAGUUGGCGGGGUAAAGGCCCACCAAGGCGACGAUACGUAGCUGAUCCGAGAGGAUGAUCAGCCACACUGGAACUGAGAAACGGUCCAAACUCCUAGGGGAGGCAGCAGUGGGGAAUAUUGGACAAGGGGCGCAAGCCGGAGCCAGCCAUACCGCGUGGGUGAAGAAGGCCUCCGGUUGUUAAAGUCUUUUUGUUGGGAAAGAAAAGCAGCAGGGUAAUUCUGCGCUGUUCGGACGGUACCCAAAGAAUAAGCACCGGCUAACUUCGU
Molecule: ribosomal RNA, 491 nt
Filed under: uncultured bacterium
Lineage: Bacteria
Description: partial 16S ribosomal RNA
Rfam family: Bacterial small subunit ribosomal RNA
Source: RNAcentral